GAGGGUUGUAGCCCAGUGGUAGAGGAAUUGCUUUGCAUGCAGAAUGUCCUCGGUUCAAUCCCUGGCAUCUUCA
Podarcis lilfordi (Lilford's wall lizard) is the source of this 73-nucleotide non-coding RNA. The record is from the annotation of a GenBank genome assembly. NCBI's taxonomy places the organism in Eukaryota, Metazoa, Chordata, Lepidosauria, Squamata, Lacertidae.